GUGAGGAAUAUUGGUCAAUGGGCGAGAGCCUGAACCAGUCAAGUCGCGUGAAGGAAGAAGGAUCUAUGGUUCGUAAACUUCUUUUGCAGGGGAAUAAAGUGCGGGACGUGUCCUGUUUUGUAUGUACCCUGAGAAUAAGGAUCGGCUAACUCCGUGCCAGCAGCCGCGGUAAUACGGAGGAUCCGAGCGUUAUCCGGAUUUAUUGGGUUUAAAGGGUGCGUAGGUGGGUUGAUAAGUCAGCGGUGAAAGUGUGCAGCUUAACUGUAAAAAUGCCGUUGAAACUGUCGGACUUGAGUGUAAAUGAGGUAGGCGGAAUGCGUGGUGUAGCGGUGAAAUGCAUAGAUAUCACGCAGAACUCCGAUUGCGAAGGCAGCUUACUAAGCUACAACUGACACUGAAGCACGAAAGCGUGGGGAUCAAACAGGAUUAGAAACCCUUGUAGUCC
RNAcentral lists this ribosomal RNA (445 nucleotides) under uncultured bacterium. RNAcentral describes it as "partial 16S ribosomal RNA". It matches the Rfam family "Bacterial small subunit ribosomal RNA", at positions 354 to 796 of the family's 1533-position model. The record is from RNAcentral.